This 253-nucleotide ribosomal RNA is filed under the name uncultured bacterium. RNAcentral describes it as "partial 16S ribosomal RNA". It matches the Rfam family "Bacterial small subunit ribosomal RNA", at positions 524 to 776 of the family's 1533-position model. The record is from RNAcentral.
UACAGGGGGUGCAAACGUUGCUCGGAAUCAUUGGGCGUAAAGCGCACGCAGGCGGCUCGUUAUGUCGGAUGUGAAAGGCCUUGGCUUAACCGAGGAAGUGCAUCCGAAACUGGCGAGCUAGAGUACGAAAGAGGAUCGCGGAAUUCCCGGUGUAGAGGUGAAAUUCGUAGAUAUCGGGAGGAACACCGGUGGCGAAGGCGGCGAUCUGGGUAGAUACUGACGCUGAGGUGCGAAAGCGUGGGGAGCAAACAGG